Molecule: non-coding RNA, 30 nt
Filed under: Rattus norvegicus (Norway rat)
Lineage: Eukaryota; Metazoa; Chordata; Mammalia; Rodentia; Muridae
Source: RNAcentral
UAAAGUCUUGAUGGGCCUUCCCUGUAUCUG